Molecule: ribosomal RNA, 496 nt
Filed under: uncultured bacterium
Lineage: Bacteria
Description: partial 16S ribosomal RNA
Rfam family: Bacterial small subunit ribosomal RNA
Source: RNAcentral
AUGAACGCUGACGGCGUGCCUAAUACAUGCACGUCGAGCGAACAGACGAGGAGCUUGCUCCUCUGACGUUAGCGGCGGACGGGUGAGUAACACGUGGAUAACCUACCUAUAAGACUGGGAUAACUUCGGGAAACCGGAGCUAAUACCGGAUAAUAUAUUGAACCGCAUGGUUCAAUAGUGAAAGACGGUUUUGCUGUCACUUAUAGAUGGAUCCGCGCCGCAUUAGCUAGUUGGUAAGGUAACGGCUUACCAAGGCAACGAUGCGUAGCCGACCUGAGAGGGUGAUCGGCCACACUGGAACUGAGACACGGACCAGAAUCCUACGGGAGGAAGCAGUAGGGAAUAUUCCGCAAUGGGCGAAAGCCUGACGGAGCAACGCCGCGUGAGUGAUGAAGGUCUUCGGAUCGUAAAACUCUGUUAUGAGGGAAGAACAAAUGUGUAAGUAACUAUGCACGUCUUGACGGUACCUAAUCAGAAAGCCACGGCUAACUACGUG